ACUCGCCGCUGAGUCCAUUUCCCUGCAACACUGCAGAUAGGGGAGUCUAGAGACAGAAUACAGACAGCGGCUGCCGACGGCUGGGACUGGGAGGGGAUGGCUAUGGGGCACGUUUCCUUCCAGGGUGAUAAAGGCAUUCGUUCUAAGAUAGACUGUGGUGACAGCUGCACACUCUGUAGAUGACAUCUCAGUCAAGCUGCUUCAUGAGAAAGGCCCAGCCACUGACCACAGGGUGAACGUCCUGCCGUGCACAGUCCCUGGCCGAGAAGAAGGUAUGACUGACAGGAAGCACUGGUUUUCUUUCCGGACACAUCCGAACGUGCCAGGACUGCAGGAGCCGCUGGAUUAUGGAGCAGCAAACCAGGCAUGGCAGGCGGUGCUCGCGAAGGUACAACGGGGCAGACCAGGGUGUGCAGCGUUACGUGACUUGGGAAGAUGGGGGGGCCCGACGUAUCUACCAGGAGACAGUGGAGACCUCUACCCUCUAGCUGUCCUCUGGUCCCACACAACCCAGCCCCUACUGGGCGGCCACUGCAGGGGAAGCUCAGCUGGAAGGUUCCUGGGAGAGACCAGAACAGUUCUGACACUGUCCAGCAGCUGCCGUCAGCCCACGUUCUGAAACCGGGAUGCAUACAGCAUGGAGACCUCAGCCCUGGGCCCUGGGCAGCCCUCACCCCCUCCAGCAGCUGCUCUCAGCCCGUCUCCCAAAGCCUGGACGCACACAGUGGGGAGACCUCAGCCCUGGGCAGGCCUUGGUCCCCAUCGCUUCGGCGUCCCUGGGCCCAGGACACGGAACGCACUUGCUACAUGCUGUGUACAAGAAUGAACGAAUCAGCCUGCCUAGCACCCCUUGGCCGGCUCCAGGCCUCCACUUGCUGUGUCAAGUGAGGCUCCCACGUGCUGAGGGGACAGAGGGCCCCUGUGACCUGUGAUGCUCCCACUCUCACCCACGCAGCUGCUCAGCUACACAGCCGGCUUCUCCAGGGCUAACAGGCUACCCAGAUGCAAGCCAGUCUCGGCCCCUGACCACACUGGUUUUCAAAUGAACUGUGGGCUCUCAUGACGGAGAAGUGGCUGGGAGUCCCAGUGUGGGAUGUGGUGGGACGGGGCUGGGGUCUGUGCAGAGACGAUGAUGGAGGAGCUCCUGGGGGCACACAGACCUAGUGUCGCUCUCAGGGCUGGGUCUGCAGGCCACUCUCCCUCCCUCAACAACACUAACGCCUGCUGCAGCCCCAGGAGGGGUCAGGACUCACAGAUGCCAACGAGCAAAAGCAGCCCAUGCCGGACGCAUCACCACCAGUGGCCCCGGCAAAGGCUUCCUGGUGUGUGUGGCUGACCAUCGGCCACUCGGGUAGACAGAGGUGUGGGUGGGCUGUGUGUAUGCCAGGGCAGACGGACAGCCCAGGGUCUCAGGCCAAUGGAAACAGGAAGUUUCCAGCUCCAUUUGAAUACCAGUGGAAAUGCCGGGCCCUCGCGCUGAAUAGGAUGCUCCAUCCAAGCUUGCCACAGUCCGCAGCACUCCCUGCCGCCUCCUCGGUGGCUGGGGCCAGUCACCAGGCCCGGCUGUGCUUUCACAGCUGCUUUUCUCAUGGGAGAGCAAGAUCUCCUGGGAUUCAAGGCCCUACCAGGAGUACAAGACAAGGGUCAUGGGAAGGCUGUGUGAGCCCUCAAGGGGCACCACUGGCCCUGCGCACCAGGGAUUUGCGCUCCUGGUUCCGACAGCCCAGGGCCGAAUCCUGGCAGAUGGGGAAGCUGAGCUCUGUCUGACCUGCUCUGGAAAACAGCUGGUCCAGAGAAGGAGGAAGAUGUCACUUAAUUCUGAGUUGCUGAGGAUAAGCCAGGGGCCCUGGAGGUGACUCUGCUGCCCAUAGCAUCCCAGGGGAUGCCACAUCCCCACAGGAGAAGCCCGGGUCCCCCACAGGACUGCGUGCCCCCCACCACCAAGGUCCUUGCCCACUGGUCUGUGCCUCAGUAGGAUAGCCUCCUUCUCACACUAUUUUGAAAUAUAAAAAUAAUACUCAUUACCCAUCACCCAGUCACUCAGAAUCACACCAGCAGGCGCACAGAAGUGACGGCAUGUAGUUCUCCAGCCUGUUUGUGAGCAUGGGUGUACAUGUACACACACACACAAAUGCACAUGCAUGGACACAUGCACACACACACACAUGCACACACAGACAUGCACACACAUGCACACAUGCACGUACACACAUGCACACACACACGCGCGCACGCACACGCGGGGUCAGGGAGCCGAUGCUGUGCUAGGCUGUCGAGGGCUUCUUCACUCAGCGGCACUUGGGAAGCGCUGCUCUGUGGGAGGCCCCUCAUCCAUGUCCUCGUUAUUAGCAACACAAGUCUCCAAGUGAGGAGGGGCCAUGUUUACUAGCCGUCCUUCCAGCCCACAUCUCCUACGGUUCCUUAUUUUCACAGAUACUGUUUUGCAGAUGCAGAGACCCCAAGCAGCCCACACGUCUUAUCUGGGUGAAGCUUUGCUUUAUGAAGUGCUGCCUGGACCCCUGAUGGUCAGCCCUCCCGUGGACACAGUGGCAGGCAGGCGGGGGCGCUCAGGGCUGUCUGCGGGGGGCAGCCAGGACCUCACUGAGGUGGACAACUGGGUCCACGCCCUCCUCAGCCUGCACUGCUGGACAGGUCCCAACAAGUCGUGCUCGGCAUGGCCCAAGAACGGGAAGCGGCAGCGUCCUGGCAUCCUAGGUGAGACUUCAAGAAGGCUCCCUACUCCCACCUGGGUUAAAGGUGGAACCCCAGGUGUACAGAGCCCCCCGGGGUACAGGGGAGGCUGGAUCAGCAGACACCGGCUCUGGGAGGGCCCUGAGGGGCUGUGGAGGGAAGGUGACCCCGCAGUGGCAGCGGCAGUGGCAGCGGCAGCAGGACGGCGCAGUGCCCAACACCUGAGGCCACUCUCCCUGGACGGGGGGCAGGCGGCACUGAGAGGCGGCCAUAAAAACCGGAGUUUAUUUAAUAAAACAAGAGCCCACGCGGC
Molecule: non-coding RNA, 3004 nt
Filed under: Pongo abelii (Sumatran orangutan)
Lineage: Eukaryota; Metazoa; Chordata; Mammalia; Primates; Hominidae
Source: RNAcentral